This 354-nucleotide ribosomal RNA is filed under the name uncultured Pelotomaculum sp. Its description in RNAcentral is "bacterial SSU rRNA". It matches the Rfam family "Bacterial small subunit ribosomal RNA", at positions 1028 to 1382 of the family's 1533-position model. The record is from RNAcentral. Lineage: Bacteria; Bacillati; Bacillota; Clostridia; Eubacteriales; Desulfotomaculaceae.
AGGGAGACAGGUGGUGCAUGGUUGUCGUCAGCUCGUGUCGUGAGAUGUUGGGUUAAGUCCCGCAACGAGCGCAACCCCUACGUUUAGUUGCUAACAGGUGAAGCUGAGCACUCUAGACGAACUGCCGUUGACAAAACGGAGGAAGGUGGGAUGACGUCAAAUCAUCAUGCCCCUUAUGUUCUGGGCUACACACGUGCUACAAUGGCCGGUACAGACGGAGGCGAAGCCGCGAGGCGGAGCAAAUCCGAAAAAGCCGGUCUCAGUUCGGAUUGCAGGCUGCAAUUCGCCUGCAUGAAGUCGGAAUCGCUAGUAAUCGCAGGUCAGCAUACUGCGGUGAAUACGUUCCCGGGCCUU